GGGACUAUAGUUAAUAAUAACAUUUGAGUUGCAUUCAAAAAGUACUACCCGUAGUAGUUAGCCUCA
Molecule: transfer RNA, 66 nt
Filed under: Cavitermes parmae
Lineage: Eukaryota; Metazoa; Arthropoda; Insecta; Blattodea; Termitidae
Description: tRNA-Ala
Source: RNAcentral